UGGCACGCCUAAACAUGCAAGUCGAACGAAGUAGCAAUACUUAGUGGCAGACGGGUGAGUAACAUGUAGGUAUCUGCCCUUUGGCCUGGAAUAACACGAGGAAACUUGUGCUAAUACCGGAUAAGUCUUUACGGAGAAAGCUUUAUGCACCAUUGGAUGAGCCUGCACUUGAUUAGUUUGUUGGUGGGGUAAUGGCCUACCAAGACUGUGAUCAAUAGCUGAUUUGAGAGGAUGAUCAGCCACAUUGGGACUGAGACACGGCCCAAACUCCUACGGGAGGCAGCAGUGGGGAAUCUUGCACAAUGGAGGAAACUCUGAUGCAGCGAUGCCGCGUGAGUGAAGAAGGCCUUUGGGUUGUAAAGCUCUUUCGUCGGGGAAGAAAAUGACUGUACCCGAAUAAGAAGGUCCGGCUAACUUCGUGCCAGCAGCCGCGGUAAUACGAAGGGACCUAGCGUAGUUCGGAAUUACUGGGCUUAAAGAGUUCGUAGGUGGUUGAAAAAGUUGGUGGUGAAAUCCCAGAGCUUAACUCUGGAACUGCCAUCAAAACUUUUCA
Molecule: ribosomal RNA, 553 nt
Filed under: uncultured bacterium
Lineage: Bacteria
Description: bacterial SSU rRNA
Rfam family: Bacterial small subunit ribosomal RNA
Source: RNAcentral